GUGAACGCUGGCGGUAGGCCUAACACCUGCAAGUCGCACGGCAGCACAGUAAGAGCUUGCUCUUACGGGUGGCGAGUGGCGGACGGGUGAGGAAUACAUCGGAAUCUACUUUUUCGUGGGGGAUAACGUAGGGAAACUUACGCUAAUACCGCAUACGCCCUACGGGUGAAAGCAGGGGAUCUUCGGACUUUGCGCGAUUGAAUGAGCCGAUGUCGGAUUAGCUAGUUGGCGGGGUAAAGGCCCACCAAGGCGACGAUCCGUAGCUGGUCUGAGAGGAUGAUCAGCCACACUGGAACUGAGACACGGUCCAGACUCCUACGGGAGGCAGCAGUGGGGAAUAUUGGACAAUGGGCGCAAGCCUGAUCCAGCCAUACCGCGUGGGUGAAGAAGGCCUUCGGGUUGUAAAGCCCUUUUGUUGGGAAAGAAAAGCAGCAGGUUAAUACCCCGCUGUUCUGACGGUACCCAAAGAAUAAGCACCGGCUAACUUCGUG
This 491-nucleotide ribosomal RNA is filed under the name uncultured bacterium. RNAcentral describes it as "partial 16S ribosomal RNA". It matches the Rfam family "Bacterial small subunit ribosomal RNA", at positions 29 to 507 of the family's 1533-position model. The record is from RNAcentral.